CUUGUCAGGGCUGUGGCUGCUGACUCUUUAUAGCACUUUUCUCAACAUCUGUAGGUGGCUUAGUCCUCUAGCCUGCUCUUUCACUGGAUACCUGUGUCUGAGUGCAUUUGUUCAUCCAUCGUUUGGCCAGGGUCUGUGGGUCAGACCUGGCAGAUGGUACCCCAUGAGAGGAAUGCUGCAACGCAUCGUGACAGAACCCUCAAAAACGAAGGUGAAGAAGAAUGCACAGUCAGUAAGUCAGUCCAUCUUUGGAUUCCAGCAUGAUGCAUCAAACCCUACCAUGGGGUGACUAGGACCCAAGCCAGAAAUAAAGAAAAUGACCCUACAGGACCCACAGCUGCGGUGAUGCAGCUUCUGUGGAUGACACAAGCCCUGGAGGAUGCUGAAGAGGACCACUCAGGAGGCUGAGCGAAUCUUGCUCUGGACACAGACACCAUUUACUCCAUGAUGCAAAGCCGGAAUAUGAG
Molecule: long non-coding RNA, 467 nt
Filed under: Pan troglodytes (chimpanzee)
Lineage: Eukaryota; Metazoa; Chordata; Mammalia; Primates; Hominidae
Description: long non-coding RNA NONPTRT018602
Source: RNAcentral